UACGUAGGGAGCAAGCGUUGUCCGGAAUCAUUGGGCGUAAAGCGCGCGUAGGCGGCCUCAUAAGUCCGUUGUGAAAGUCAAAGGCUCAACCUUUGAAAGCCGAUGGAUACUGUGAGGCUAGAGUCCGGAAGAGGCGAGUGGAAUUCCUGGUGUAGCGGUGGAAUGCGCAGAUAUCAGGAGGAACACCAAUAGCGAAGGCAGCUCGCUGGGACGUUACUGACACUGAGGCGCGAAAGCGUGGGGAGCGAACAGG
This 253-nucleotide ribosomal RNA is filed under the name uncultured bacterium. Its description in RNAcentral is "partial 16S ribosomal RNA". It matches the Rfam family "Bacterial small subunit ribosomal RNA", at positions 524 to 776 of the family's 1533-position model. The record is from RNAcentral.